RNAcentral lists this ribosomal RNA (253 nucleotides) under uncultured bacterium. RNAcentral describes it as "partial 16S ribosomal RNA". It matches the Rfam family "Bacterial small subunit ribosomal RNA", at positions 524 to 776 of the family's 1533-position model. The record is from RNAcentral.
UACGUAGGGUGCAAGCGUUAUCCGGAAUUAUUGGGCGUAAAGAGCUCGUAGGCGGUUUGUCGCGUCUGCUGUGAAAACUCGGGGCUUAACCCCGGGCCUGCAGUGGGUACGGGCAGACUAGAGUGCGGUAGGGGAGACUGGAAUUCCUGGUGUAGCGGUGAAAUGCGCAGAUAUCAGGAGGAACACCGGUGGCGAAGGCGGGUCUCUGGGCCGUAACUGACGCUGAGGAGCGAAAGCGUGGGGAGCGAACAGG